GCUCCAGCUUGCUGGAGUGGAUCAGUGGCGAACGGGUGAGUAACACGUGAGCAACCUGCCCCUGACUCUGGGAUAACAGUCGGAAACGAUUGCUAAUACCGGAUAUGCACCAUGAACGCAUGUUCUGUGGUGGGAAAGAUUUUUCGGUUGGGGAUGGGCUCGCGGCCUAUCAGCUUGUUGGUGAGGUAAUGGCUCACCAAGGCGUCGACGGGUAGCCGGCCUGAGAGGGUGACCGGCCACACUGGGACUGAGACACGGCCCAGACUCCUACGGGAGGCAGCAGUGGGGAAUAUUGCACAAUGGGCGCAAGCCUGAUGCAGCAACGCCGCGUGAGGGAUGACGGCCUUCGGGUUGUAAACCUCUUUUAGCAGGGAAGAAGCGAGAGUGACGGUACCUGCAGAAAAAGCGCCGGCUAACUACGUGCCAGCAGCCGCGGUAAUACGUAGGGCGCAAGCGUUAUCCGGAAUUAUUGGGCGUAAAGAGCUCGUAGGCGGUUUGUCGCGUCUGCUGUGAAAACUGGAGGCUCAACCUCCAGCCUGCAGUGGGUACGGGCAGACUAGAGUGCGGUAGGGGAGAUUGGAAUUCCUGGUGUAGCGGUGGAAUGCGCAG
Molecule: ribosomal RNA, 609 nt
Filed under: Microbacterium petrolearium
Lineage: Bacteria; Bacillati; Actinomycetota; Actinomycetes; Micrococcales; Microbacteriaceae
Description: bacterial SSU rRNA
Rfam family: Bacterial small subunit ribosomal RNA
Source: RNAcentral